This 894-nucleotide long non-coding RNA is filed under the name Monodelphis domestica (gray short-tailed opossum). RNAcentral describes it as "lncRNA (ENSMODG00000049489.1)". Lineage: Eukaryota; Metazoa; Chordata; Mammalia; Didelphimorphia; Didelphidae. The record is from RNAcentral.
AUUCAAUAAGUGUUUCUUAAGCACAUACAUGUACUAAACCAAUCCCCAUGUAGGGUGCUGGAAACACUAAGACAAUAAAGAAAACAGCCCUUAAAAGAGCUAAUAGUGUUUGGGUAGCAGCUUCUAGAACCUGCAUUCAGAUAAUGUGUAUGCUGGUUUGACUUUGGGUUGGAAAAAAUGCAAGAUAUUAAUAUAUACAUGUAUAAUUUAAUGUUAAAAAUGGAGAUUUAUUAGACUUGUGAUUUCACAGCUGGUUUGUUAGAUUUAUCUUCAUGGCCAACAAUUUUCUCUCUUACCUCAUAUUCAUUUUUUCUUGUCUCCUAAAGCAUUUGACAACUCUUCUGUUGCAUCAAGUGUAUAAAGGAUGACCAGAAAGACUUGGCAUCAAGUGCAUGAUGAUGGAAGAAAGCUUUGUGGGACUUAUUUUCUCCAUUUCAUUGAAAACAAAAACAUGAAGGCUAACUCUUUUUGCUACACUUGCUUCCAAUAUACUCAGGCACAGAAAGGCUCAGAAUAUGAUAAUUGAUGUGCCUCAAGAAAUCAUGAGGAAAGCAUCCCUCAAGGACACCAUUGAAUUUGCCCAGGAUUGUGUGCCAGGAGGAACAAGAUUCUUACCAGAAAAUCCAUAGCCUCACCUAUCUGGAUGCAGUAACCAAAAUUCACAAGGGCUCCAUGUUCACCAAGAACCUGUGCAAUCUGAUGUCUGCCAUCAGUGGCCCCCUUAUGCAGUAGCUGAAGGAUAGACACCAUUAUAACCAGAAGCUGCUCUGGAAAUUAGAGAAGAAAACUCUUCAGGAGGAACUGGCUAGCCUGGAAUAAGGUAGCUGGCAGCAUGGAAAAGGCAGAAGUAAUGUCCUAAAUAAAUAAGUCUGCAUGAAAGAAAAAAAAUUCCUU